This 515-nucleotide long non-coding RNA is filed under the name Vombatus ursinus (common wombat). RNAcentral's name for it is "lncRNA (ENSVURG00010018519.1)". Lineage: Eukaryota; Metazoa; Chordata; Mammalia; Diprotodontia; Vombatidae. The record is from RNAcentral.
GUGACCACCUCUGAGGGCAUCAGUUUCCUUGGCUACAAAAUGGUAAAAUGAGGAGUUUGGAAUAGUUUCUCUGAAAUCUCCUCUAACACUAAAUCCUAUGAUCCUAAACUGCUCCAACAUCUAUUGGGGGAGGGGGCAGAAGGGGAAGGCAAAGAACAAGCCCAAAGUCCAGUCAGAAGCGCUUCCACACCACUUACCUAUUUCUGUUUCCUCCAGCCAAAAUGGAAGUAAAGGAUCUGAUUAUAACCUGUGAAAAUAAGAUGCAGACAGAGCUUGACGCUAUCUACCCCCAGCUGGUGAAACGGUGUAGCCUUCUAUCCUCUCUGGAUCUCCCAGGCGAAAUGCCACUUGAUCUACUCAAGCAGGAAAAGGCCCAGAUUUCCCCAAGGAGCUCCAGCCGGCAUUUCCCAGCUCAGAAGGAUAUAGAUUGUGCCCAGCUAAAAUGGAAUCCAAGGAAGAGCCCAGAAGCUUGAAGGCAAAGAAAGAAGCCUUCUCUUUCUGUUCUAGAUCAGUGU